AGUGUGCUGGAGGUAUCAGAAGUGCGAAUGCUGACAUGAGUAACGAUAAUGUGGGUGAAAAGCCCACACGCCGGAAGUCCCAGGUUUCCUGCACGACGUUAAUCGGAGCAGGGUGAGUCGGCCCCUAAGGCGAGGCUGAAGAGCGUAGUCGAUGGGAACCAGGUUAAUAUUCCUGGACUUUUUAUAAGUGGUGAAGUGGGGACGAAGAAGGCUAGGUGAGCCAGGCGUUGGUUGUCCUGGUACUUGCAUGUAGGGGGGAAGACUUGGCAAAUCCGGUUUUCCAUAACUCUGAGGUGCGAAGUGGUUCUGACCUUUUGGUACAGAGAAGUCAUUGAUGCCCGGCUUCCAGGAAAAGCUGCUAGCCAUAACUUAUAGAGAACCGUACCGCAAACCGACACAGGUGGACAGGUAGAGAAUACUAAGGCGCUUGAGAGAACUCGGGUGAAGGAACUAGGCAAAAUGGUACCGUAACUUCGGGAGAAGGUACGCCCUUUUGGGUGAGGGCAUUUACUGUCUGAGCUUAAGAGGGCCGCAGAGACCAGGUGGCUGCGACUGUUUAUUAAAAACACAGCACUCUGCAAAUUCGUAAGAAGACGUAUAGGGUGUGACGCCUGCCCGGUGCCGGAAGGUUAAUUGAUGGGGUUAUCUUCGGAGAAGCUCUUGAUCGAAGCCCCGGUAAACGGCGGCCGUAACUAUAACGGUCCUAAGGUAGCGAAAUUCCUUGUCGGGUAAGUUCCGACCUGCACGAAUGGCGUAACGAUGGCCACACUGUCUCCACCCGAGACUCAGUGAAAUUGAAAUCGCUGUGAAGAUGCAGUGUACCCGCGGCUAGACGGAAAGACCCCGUGAACCUUUACUAUAGUUUUGCACUGGACUUUGAUGAUGACUGUGUAGGAUAGGUGGGAGGCUGUGAAGUGAGGACGCUAGUUCUCAUGGAGCCGCCCUUGAAAUACCACCCUGUUGUUAUUGAGGUUCUAACUUGGUCCAGUAAUCCUGGAUGAGGACAGUGUAUGAUGGGUAGUUUGACUGGGGCGGUCUCCUCCCAAAGAGUAACGGAGGAGCACAAAGGUACCCUCGGUACGGUCGGACAUCGUACCAAGAGUGUAAAGGCAAAAGGGUGCUUGACUGCGAGAGUGACGGCUCGAGCAGGAACGAAAGUUGGUCUUAGUGAUCCGGUGGUUCUGAAUGGAAGGGCCAUCGCUCAACGGAUAAAAGGUACUCCGGGGAUAACAGGCUGAUACCGCCCAAGAGUUCAUAUCGACGGCGGUGUUUGGCACCUCGAUGUCGGCUCAUCACAUCCUGGGGCUGAAGCAGGUCCCAAGGGUAUGGCUGUUCGCCAUUUAAAGUGGUACGCGAGCUGGGUUUAGAACGUCGUGAGACAGUUCGGUCCCUAUCUGCCGUGGGCGUAGGAAAAUUGAGAGGAGCUGCUCCUAGUACGAGAGGACCGGAGUGGACGAACCUCUGGUGCACCGGUUGUCACGCCAGUGGCAUGGCCGGGUAGCUAAGUUCGGACGGGAUAACCGCUGAAAGCAUCUAAGCGGGAAGCCUCCCUCAAGAUGAGUUUUCCCAUGAAGCCCGUUGAAGACUACGACGUUGAUAGGCAAGGUGUGGAAGCGCAGUAAUGCGUGAAGCUAACUUGUACUAAUUGGCUGAUUGUCUUGACCA
RNAcentral lists this ribosomal RNA (1665 nucleotides) under Legionella pneumophila. RNAcentral describes it as "partial 23S ribosomal RNA". It matches the Rfam family "Bacterial large subunit ribosomal RNA", at positions 1267 to 2925 of the family's 2925-position model. The record is from RNAcentral. Lineage: Bacteria; Pseudomonadati; Pseudomonadota; Gammaproteobacteria; Legionellales; Legionellaceae.